GGAGGAAGAAGAGGAAGAAGAGGAGGCAGAGGAGGUAGAAGAUGAGCAGGAGAAGGAAGAUGAGGAAGAGGAGGAAGAAGAGGAGGAGGAGGAAAAAGAGGAAGAAGGAAGAUGAAGAUGAGAAGGAGGAAGAAGAGCAAGAAGAGGAGGCAGAGGAGGUAGAAGAUGAGCAGGUGAAGGAAGAAUAAGAGGAAGAUGAGGAAGAAGAGGAGGA
Long non-coding RNA from Anolis carolinensis (green anole), 214 nucleotides. RefSeq lists it as uncharacterized. The transcript is spliced from 2 exons. Lineage: Eukaryota; Metazoa; Chordata; Lepidosauria; Squamata; Anolidae. The record is from RefSeq and is a predicted model, not a curated record.